This 516-nucleotide ribosomal RNA is filed under the name Triticum aestivum (bread wheat). RNAcentral describes it as "partial small subunit ribosomal RNA". The record is from RNAcentral. Lineage: Eukaryota; Viridiplantae; Streptophyta; Magnoliopsida; Poales; Poaceae.
AUGGGAUGGAAGGAAAGGCAACUUUUAACAGGAGGAAAGGAAGUGCUACUCAAAUCAAUUGUACAGGCUAUACUAUCUUAUUCAAUGUGGGUUUUCAAAUUUUCAAAACAGAUUUGUAAAGAAAUUAUAGACGCGAUGUUGCAUUAUUGGUGGGAUGACAGUGUCAGUUAGAGGAGAAUGCACUGGUUUGCGUGGUGGAAGUUGUGUGUGCCAAAGAAAUAAGGUGGAAUGGGAUUUCAAGAUAUUCAUUGUAACAUAGCCCUGCUUGCAAAACAGGCUUAGAGAUUAAUUGAUAAUCUAGAUUCCCUUUGUGCCCGUGUUCUCAAAGUGAAAUAUUAUCUAGAUUGUGACAUUUUUGAAUGCAGCUCCGAAAAAAGAGCCUCAUUCACAUGGCACAGUAUUAUGUCGAGGGUGCAGACACUUAAAAGAGGUCAUAUAUGGAGGAUUAGUGAUGGUAGUUGGAUCAAUGUUUGGGAUGAUGAAUAUGGAUCCCUAACUCACCUACCAGGAAAGUGA